UCAGCUCUCUCAGCCUUUUGGCUUUGAUCAAGUGUAGUAACUGUUCUUGCUAGUUUAAUCGCUAGUAGGUCUCCACGGAGGCUUGUUAACGAUGAGUUUUUGGAAACAGUCUAGCAGCCGCUGAACUUCGUUCAAGUUGCUGGUCAGUGUCGCCAGUAUUGCACUGUCUCUGGCUGACGCAAAGACCA
This 188-nucleotide small nuclear RNA is filed under the name Neofusicoccum parvum UCRNP2. Its description in RNAcentral is "U2 spliceosomal RNA". It matches the Rfam family "U2 spliceosomal RNA". From Rfam's summary of the family: U2 is a small nuclear RNA (snRNA) component of the spliceosome (involved in pre-mRNA splicing). Complementary binding between U2 snRNA (in an area lying towards the 5' end but 3' to hairpin I) and the branchpoint sequence (BPS) of the intron results the bulging out of an unpaired adenosine, on the BPS, which initiates a nucleophilic attack at the intronic 5' splice site, thus starting the first of two transesterification reactions that mediate splicing. Lineage: Eukaryota; Fungi; Ascomycota; Dothideomycetes; Botryosphaeriales; Botryosphaeriaceae. The record is from Rfam by way of RNAcentral.